This is an unclassified non-coding RNA of Dasypus novemcinctus (nine-banded armadillo), 108 nucleotides long. Lineage: Eukaryota; Metazoa; Chordata; Mammalia; Cingulata; Dasypodidae. The record is from Ensembl.
AGUGUUCCUAGGUUUGGAAGUAUAAAUCCCAUGGGAAGUCAACUGAAGAAUAUUUUAUGCUUCACGUAUCCUAUUAUGAACUUUGUACUGUCCCAUCUUUCCACAAGG